Molecule: transfer RNA, 77 nt
Filed under: Pseudomonas putida B6-2
Lineage: Bacteria; Pseudomonadati; Pseudomonadota; Gammaproteobacteria; Pseudomonadales; Pseudomonadaceae
Description: tRNA-Met
Rfam family: tRNA
About the family: Transfer RNA (tRNA) molecules are approximately 80 nucleotides in length.
Source: RNAcentral
CGCGGGAUGGAGCAGCCUGGUAGCUCAUCGGGCUCAUAACCCGAAGGUCGUCGGUUCAAAUCCGGCUCCCGCAACCA